Molecule: ribosomal RNA, 551 nt
Filed under: uncultured bacterium
Lineage: Bacteria
Description: bacterial SSU rRNA
Rfam family: Bacterial small subunit ribosomal RNA
Source: RNAcentral
AGGGAAUAUUGGACAAUGGGCGCAAGCCUGAUCCAGUCAUGCCGCGUGAGUGAAGAAGGCCCUCGGGUUGUAAAGCUCUUUUGUUGGGGAAGAAAAGCAUUCGGCUAAUACCCGGGUGUCCUGACGGUACCCAAAGAAUAAGCACCGGCUAACUUCGUGCCAGCAGCCGCGGUAAUACGAAGGGUGCAAGCGUUACUCGGAAUUACUGGGCGUAAAGCGUGCGUAGGUGGUUCGUUAAGCCUGAUGUGAAAGCCCUGGGCUCAACCUGGGAAUGGCAUUGGAUACUGGCGGGCUAGAGUGCGGUAGAGGGUAGUGGAAUUCCCGGUGUAGCAGUGAAAUGCGUAGAGAUCGGGAGGAACAUCCGUGGCGAAGGCGACUACCUGGACCAGCACUGACACUGAGGCACGAAAGCGUGGGGAGCAAACAGGAUUAGAUACCCUGGUAGUCCACGCCCUAAACGAUGCGAACUGGAUGUUGGGCUCAACUUGGAGCUCAGUAUCGAAGCUAACGCGUUAAGUUCGCCGCCUGGGGAGUACGGUCGCAAGACUGAA